This 387-nucleotide ribosomal RNA is filed under the name Pelmatolapia mariae (spotted tilapia). RNAcentral's name for it is "partial 12S ribosomal RNA". It matches the Rfam family "Bacterial small subunit ribosomal RNA", at positions 794 to 1384 of the family's 1533-position model. The record is from RNAcentral. Lineage: Eukaryota; Metazoa; Chordata; Actinopteri; Cichliformes; Cichlidae.
GCCCAGCCCUAAACUUUGAUAGCCCCCUACGUUCGCUAUCCGCCCGGGUACUACGAGCACUAGCUUAAAACCCAAAGGACUUGGCGGUGCUUUAGACCCACCUAGAGGAGCCUGUUCUAGAACCGAUAACCCCCGUUGAACCUCACCCUCUCUUGUUUUUCCCGCCUAUAUACCGCCGUCGUCAGCUUACCCUGUGAGGGAACCACAGUAAGCAAAACUAGUACAACUCAAAACGCCAGGUCGAGGUGUAGCAUAUGAGAGGGGAAGAAAUGGGCUACAUUCCCUGCCCCAGGGAAUACGAACGAUGUAAUGAAAUAUGCAUUAGAAGGAGGAUUUAGCAGUAAGCAGAAAACAGAGCGUUCCGCUGAAAUUGGCCCUGAAGCGCGC